RNAcentral lists this ribosomal RNA (253 nucleotides) under uncultured bacterium. RNAcentral's name for it is "partial 16S ribosomal RNA". It matches the Rfam family "Bacterial small subunit ribosomal RNA", at positions 524 to 776 of the family's 1533-position model. The record is from RNAcentral.
UACGUAGGGGGCAAGCGUUGUCCGGAUUCAUUGGGCGUAAAGAGCGUGUAGGCGGCCAGGUAGGUCGGUUGUGAAAACUGGAGGCUCAACCUUCAGAGGUCGACCGAAACCAUCUGGCUAGAGUCCGGGAGAGGAGAGUGGAAUUCCUGGUGUAGCGGUGAAAUGCGCAGAUAUCAGGAGGAACACCGAUGGCGAAGGCAGGUCUCUGGGCCACUACUGACGCUGAGAAGCGAAAGCAUGGGGAGCGAACAGG